RNAcentral lists this ribosomal RNA (253 nucleotides) under uncultured bacterium. Its description in RNAcentral is "partial 16S ribosomal RNA". It matches the Rfam family "Bacterial small subunit ribosomal RNA", at positions 524 to 776 of the family's 1533-position model. The record is from RNAcentral.
UACGUAGGUGACAAGCGUUAUCCGGAAUUACUGGGCGUAAAGCGCACGCAGGCGGCGCGGUAAGUCUGAUGUGAAAUCUCCCGGCUUAACUGGGGGGGGUCAUUGGAAACUGCCGAGCUUGAGGCGAUGAGAGGGGUGUAGAAUUCCCGGUGUAGUGGUGGAAUGCGUAGAUAUCGGGAGGAAUACCAGUGGCGAAGGCGGUUGCCUGGAGCUUUGCUGACGCUGAUGCGCGAAAGCGUGGGGAGCGAUCCGG